AUGUACCGGAGCGCUGGGCGGACAGCCUUGGGGGGCACCGGCCGCCACCUGAGUGACCGCGGGAGGAGGAUGCUGGGGGAUAAGGGAUAUCCCACACUCGGGGGGUGCUGGACGGAUGCGAGGGUACGGGAUCGUCGCCUUGCGGAGUCCUGGGGGGACCAUGCUGGGUUACCACGGCCAGCUGGGAGGAUGCUGAGAGGACGGACCGUCCCAGGCUCAGAGCCCCUGGGAAGCCCUGCCUGGGUCCUCCUGCUCUGCUGGAGCCUGGCUGCUUGCUGCACAGGUGCCAUGGCCUUGCAGCCGCCCAGCAUCACCGCCCUGCGGAUGCCAGCAGAGCUUCCUCGCCCAGGUGAGAGUGUGACUGUGUCAUGUGAAGCACUGAGUGAGCUUCCAGAGAUGACGCUGCUCUACUGGCUGGAGAACGGCUUCUUCGUGGAGAGCCUGCACCCCGACGGGGCUGUACGUGAGGGGACAGUGCAAGUCUCGGGAGUGCGGAGACCAAAGCUUCGGAUCAACAGGAAGCCUCAGGUGAACUGGAUGCAUGUCAUAGGAGAUCAAAGACCUAACAUGGUUUGUGCUGUUAUGAUGCCUAAGGCAAAGCCUCUGCAGACAAAGGUUGAACAAGCCAGGUGA
Molecule: long non-coding RNA, 633 nt
Filed under: Zonotrichia albicollis (white-throated sparrow)
Lineage: Eukaryota; Metazoa; Chordata; Aves; Passeriformes; Passerellidae
Description: lncRNA (ENSZALG00000015412.1)
Source: RNAcentral